UGGAAUGGCCAAGACGGGGUCAGUCGUUCUCCGCGAGAGGGCGUACUUUACAAAUUAACGACGAUUUCCCUUGCGUUUGGACACUGUCUUGUCGCUGCUUUUCGUGCUUUUGCCGCGGUUAUACUAGCAUGAGUAGUUUGUUCCGAAAUACUAGCGUUGGGAUUGCUGUUCGCCAUCAUGCAAUCGGCCCUCCGUGCCACCCCUGGGGUUUUUAAUGCCACUCGUGCCCACACUCAAGUGUUUUGAAGAAUGUAAAAUCCAGUGUGUGAUAAACAUGUGUAAAGAAACCUUUCGUAAGAAGCCAGAAGAGCUUUACAACAAUCUUGGACUGGGAGAUGGAGGCCAUCAUAAACUUCUUGUAGGAUGAGUUGCCGCAGACAGAGAUGAAAACCAUGAUGAAUGUCCGUGAGCCAGAGGCUAUGAUUUGUUUAGUACAACAAUGCGAGGGACUUAACAAAAUUGAGGCGGAAAUAUUCUUGAGGCAGUGUCGGUGCAUGGAAGAAACGGAAACAUUGGAUUAAGGAUUUAUUUCAUAGUGAAUUACACAGUCACAAAUGGAUUACACACGUUCUGGAUUAGACUAGUUUCUGCUGCAACUGACAUUUUUGCAGGUGCCCACUCGUAGGCGAUUCCUUGAUGUCUUCCUUGGAUUUUACAUGAUAUUAUGUCAUUUUCGCCAACAUCGGGUUUUGGCGCCAAGACGUUUGUUCCUAGAACAGUUGAUUUAAAUGCCGAAUGUGGACAGUUUUAAUUUAUAUCGCCGGUGUCUACCCAAACAAUUUUAGAUGCUUUCUGCUGAAUCUUCUAUUACUACUGUUUUUACUGGGGUUUCAUCGAUGUUUUUUGGUGGAGUGUGACUCUAAAGUAAUAGGCAGCUUGUUAUGCCCCCGCCAAUGCGUAAAGCAUUGCGGAGGCAUUAUGUUUUACCAAUGUCCGUCAGCCGGUAGGCGUCAGGCGUCUGUAAACUUUUCGUUUCCUCUCAUUUUAACAAGAACGCUUUGAGUAAUAACCAUGUAACUUUUUAUGUGGGUAGAAAAAGAUAACGUGCACAGCGGGCAUUACAGACCAAUAACUCUUUCACAAUGUCAACUAAACCAAGUCAGCUAUGACACCAGCUGCCCGGGGUUGUCUGAAAAACACUUCACUUUCCUAAUACACCAACUCAAAGUGCUCACCGGGGCAUAUGCUACGCCCUGCGUUGCUCUUGUUAUUGCAGUAUUUUUGUUCUUCCUCUGGUUCACCUAUAAACUAUUUUUCCAAUCUCCAAUCAUGUUUGAUGCUUUAGCCAUUUUGUUUCAGCUCUUAACGUGUUAUUCAUUAUUUCUGGUAGCAUAAGUCCUGGCACGAAAUACCUUUCCCGUCAUAAUAUCAGUACCAAGACGUCACAGGGUAGGUCCUACUCCAGGAAACGCCUUACUCGUGCACUGUUCCACGUGAAAAGGGUCACUGCUUGGAGAGCUAAAUGGGUCAACAUCAGAAAAGCGCGAUAAUUCAGUCUUUGGAAUUUUUCCUUUUUUUGUGCAAUUUGUUGAUGGAAACUACUUAUGUAGAACAGGAGGUGACUGGGCAGCGGACAGCUGGGUAAUAUUGCCCUUAACCCCUCGCCUCCCUGGAGGGGACGAUAUAUCGUCCCUGUAUUUUGUCUCGCGUAGGCGGUACGAUAUAUCGUCCCUAUACUAAUGCUUUAGUAUAGAACUCUCGGUACACGUUAGACGCUAUUGUACAGUGUAUUCGUGUCCCUGGUGAUCUGCAGAAGACUAGAUUUAGUUUCAUUCAUAGUUUACAGAGGGCGCUGCAGUUUGAUUGGCGCUUGUGCAGCGUCACAGUACAAGAACUGAUUAGCAUAUAAAUUAAUAUUAUGUUGUAUUAUUCGAUCAAUCAGUAAUAGACAAUAGUCAGUCAAAGGUUAUCAAUCAAGUUACGUUGAUCAUUAACAGGUUGUAACUGCAUCAAUUACAGUUCCAUAUACUUUGUUCAAAUCAGAAAAAUCAAUCAAUUAGAGCAAAAUCAAUCCAAAAAUAUUGAUUAUUACUGAUUAUUGAUUACCUCUUACCUAAUUGAUACCCAGAAACAACGCCAAUUGAUAGCCAAGGUAAUCAGCUUUACGAAAAUGUAUGGUUUUAUUAGUCGUACUUCCACCUAUCAAAUCCCCGUGUCUUUUGCGCUUACACCUAUGAAUUGUCGUGUCUAAAUAGACCUGUGUGUCAAAUCCCCGUGUCUAUUAGCCCCAUCGAGCUUGAUGCGGCCAAUCGGGGGCUAAUUUAGACCUGUGUUCAACACAGGUUUUUGAUAGGUGGAAUCUGAAUAGACACAGCAAUUGCAAGUUCUAAGAUCCGGCGACAGAUGGCGCGGUGUAGUUACCGCGGUAUUGCGCAUGCGAAAUUCCCCUCCAACGGGAAAGAAACACAGGAGAGCUCCCUACCUACAGCGCACCUGUCGCCGGGGUUAUUAAUCAUUAUCUAACACAACUGAUAGGUGCAAGUGCGCCGCAGGUUUUUUGACACACGGCGAAGACACGGGUCUUGAAAAAACACGGGGUUUUAUCAUAGGUGUUCUGUAGGGACUGUAUAUUGAUAUAACUCCUCAACCUCUUAAACAAAACAACGUUUAUUUCUCCUUGCUUGCUACAAAAUCAAUCAAACUUUACAAAUGUUCAUCGCACGUGCUCUCAUGGGUGGGCGCGGACAUCUUAAACUCCUCGCCAUUACUCGUUGUUGUCGUCGUUACACAUACAACCGUCUCAACCAAAUACACAACAAUAGGUGGAACUAUGACUAUAAAUCAAGGAUGCAUAAUGAAGGAGGUACAAUAUUUAAAAGUAUUUUUACGUUAUUUUGCAUAAAACUGGUAAAAAAUCUCGGUACAUCGCGUUACAUAGGCCUCGGGAGCCAAAGGGUUAAUAAUGCCUAAGGUCCUUUAAUAAUUUUGGUACCAAACCAAGUGCUUGAAGUGGUUGGAAUACCAUAACCUAUGCAGACACGUGAGGGCCAUUUACACGGAACCAGUGAUCUUGACCGAUCUUGACCGAUCCAGAUCAUUCUAGAUUGGUUUGCUGCGUUUAUCCUCUUGACUCCCAAAACUUGAAAAUCACGGGAUCCCAGGGUGGUCACGUGGUUGCGAAAAUUGGGUCUGACGUUCACGAUGUAUGGCGCCCGCAUACAACCACCAAAGUCCGGUGACGAGGCACCAUCUACCCAGGCAUGCUCUAACUGACCCUACUGUACAUCAAACACGCUAAAACCAGCAAUAAAAUAGCGUCCCAGCUCAAGGGAAUAAAAAUAUUACUGAGACCGACCUGUCGGUCGUUGGGGAAAAAAACAUUAUUUCAAAAUGACCGACUGGUCGGUCACCGGGAUUCAAGAGGUUGACUGCACACCAUUGGUCAUUCGCAAGAAACACAGGCCCAAAUUCAUAAAGGGCGUUUAAGGGUUAGACAUGUACAACUUCUCUCUAAUCAGUUUCAGGGCCUAUUCAUAUUCUGUGAAGAUUCACAUCAAGGGCCAGAAUCUGUCUACUCAGUAGUUAAACGCUGUUUUAAGCUAAACACCCUUUAUGAAUUUGGCCCCAUAUGUUUAAGUUUUGAAUAUAAAGUUAAAAUAAAAGAUUGAGGUGUGUCGUGUAAUCAAGCAAUGUGCGUAUUCAUUUACGCGACACUCGUUAAUCAUCUUCUGUAAUAAUUUGUUUGAGUAAUCUUGGAAAGUUUUGAAAAAUGGCGUCCAUUACAUUUACAUUCUCAUCUCAACAGAGCCCUUUGACGAGAGAUAAUGGCUUUUUCUGGCAUUUAUCUGAAAAACUUGACUUUCCUGAGAAACAUGACAGUGCCCAAGUUGUAGGGUAAUUACACAUUUCUUCAAGUCCCAAGAUAACAUUCAUUGAGUUAAGUUGAAAUCAGCAUGACAGUGAACUGAAUGGCUGCAGGAAUUUCCAGCAAGUACUUGUACCGGUAAUAUUUUUCUCUGACAACAACCGUUUUUGGGCCUUUUGAGCUUAUUAUAUAUGAGAGUAGUAGACAGAUCAAGUUGUUUGAAAUGACUGACAUAAUUUUAAAAGCCCUUGUCCUGCAAUUGCCACCGUGGUAAUGUACCUAAAGUGCCCCAGCCACAUAUGUACAAAUGAUAAUCAUGUUUGGCAAAAUUAAAUGUGUGGUGAAUAUUGAAAGUUCAAGUGUGAACAUAUUAUGUAAAAGUGUGGAAUUACACAGCGAGAACUGUAUAAUCCCAGUAAAUGAUUUUUAUACAUAUUGAAGUCAUGAAGUACGGCAGCAGAUUAGUGCCAUAAAAAAUAUAAAAAAUAAAAUAUUAUCUCGUUAUUACGAGAUCUUUUCUCGUUAUUACGUGAUGUUAUCUCGUUAUUACGCGAUCUUUUCUCGUUAUUACGCGAUCUUUUCUCGUUAUUACGAGAUCUUUUCUCGUUAUUACGCGAUGUUAUCUCGUUAUUACGAGAUCUUUUCUCGUUAUUACGCGAUCUUUUCUCGUUAUUACGCGAUCUUUUCUCGUUAUUACGAGAUGUUAUCUCGUUAUUACGCGAUGAUGGUAUAUGGUACGGACCUUUCCCGCGCUUGAUCCUGAGCUUUAGGUCUCGUUAGGGAGUUUUUCCCAAAUGUACGCGAUGAUGACGUGUCCCAUUAACAGGACGUAACAUCUAUUUUAAAAUGCGUUUCCAAAGUGAAUGCAUGAGGACAACCCAUUUGUAUCGUAUAUCACUGGAAACGCCUGAUUCCCCUGAUUCUGCAGGAUGUUAAAUCGGGCAUUUUAUUUCUUUAAAUAAAUCAUAAGCGUCGCAUUUGCUCCUAGCUCUGCACCAUCCCAAAUGGCAAUAUUGCCAAUUGGGCCGGACAAUCACGAAAAACCCCAAAUAUUAUACAUUUCUUCCUGAAUAAUUCUUACAGAGACCAUUCUCCCAUGAAAGACAGUUGCUUACGCUACACAAAAAUUAAAAAAAAUCGAGGGUCAACCAUUGAACUUUUGAGAUGUGUUGAAUUUUGCACAAAUCAGCGAAAAACGCACCAACUGGGACUGGACGGCAUUUCAACACGGGGCCGACGCACAUCCCAAGUUCAGUGUACACAUACGUCGGCAACAACAGUAUAAAUGCGUAGUUUCUUGUUAGUCGCCUAUUGAGUAGCGCUCUAGGUUUCAGAAACUCCAAAAAAACAUGUCUUUGCCAAAACAACUGCUGAAUCAACGCUGACAUACUGUGAGGACCGAGAAAUCAAUGAUUUUAGGAACUACGGUUAGGGCUUGGCCGCGCAUGAAUGAAAAAAAAAACUCCCUAAUGAGACCUUAAUCCUCGAUGUUGCGUGCACUUUCGCAUCUCGUAAUAACGAGAAAAGAUCUCGUAAUAACGAGAUAACAUCUCGUAAUAACGAGAAAAGAUCGCGUAAUAACGAGAAAAGAUCUCGUAAUAACGAGAUAACAUCGCGUAAUAACGAGAAAAGAUCUCAUAAUAACGAGAAAAGAUCUCGUAAUAACGAGAUAAUAUUUUAUUUUUUAUGGCACUAAUCUGCUGCCGUAAUGAAGACUGUGAGUGUGAAUUUUAUCGUGAUACUUAAAGGCAGAAAGGGAAUUGAAGAUACAGUGGAACCUCCCUUAGCAGAUACCUCUCUAUGAAGGACAACCUCACUAUUAAGGACACUAGUUUUGGUCCCAAAUUGGUACUUUCCAUUCAAUAUGGCCUCUCUAAUCAGGACACCUCUCUAUUAAGGACAGCAUUUGGCAGUCCCGAUGGUGUCCUUAAUAGAGAGGUUCUACUGAGUGACAAAAAUUGUAUUUUUUCCUAAUGUUAAGUCGGGAUCGUGGGAUUAUUGAUUUCUGCCCGUUUCUAGUAUUGUGAGGAUGUAUUUGGUCAUUUGUUUUGAUGCAUGAAUGAAGUAACCCAGAUCGCAAUUAUUGAAAAAUUUGUGUAGAAACUUCAUUUGUAGUAGAGUGUGUAUAUCUGUUACUUCUAAUGAUUUUAAAGUCUUGAAUAAGGGUUUGGUGUGGGCAAUGAGCAGAGCAGAUAAUAAUAAUUAAAUGACCUGAAAUCUA
Molecule: long non-coding RNA, 6026 nt
Organism: Lineus longissimus
Lineage: Eukaryota; Metazoa; Nemertea; Pilidiophora; Heteronemertea; Lineidae
Exons: 5
Source: RefSeq, a predicted model, not a curated record